Camellia sinensis is the source of this 529-nucleotide non-coding RNA. The record is from RefSeq and is a predicted model, not a curated record. NCBI's taxonomy places the organism in Eukaryota, Viridiplantae, Streptophyta, Magnoliopsida, Ericales, Theaceae.
UUUCCCACCCUAGAUGAAGAUGAUCAUUGUACAAAAAAAAAAUAAAAAAUGCUCGCUGUAAAGAUUAGUGGCCAAAAGUGAGGUAGAAUAGCGUGAUAGGCAUCAAUUGAAUUUCUCGAAAUGAUUAAUAUACUACCAGUCCUGGCAAUGACUAAAUCUCUGCAAUUGAACCAAGGAUUAGCUUAUAUUCUUAUCUGAUUUUCUGUUACUUUGCAUAAUCAUUAUGAAUUUAAACUGACACCAUUUUUUUUUUCUUUUCUAUUUUGCCCGGUUCAUUUUGGGGAAUAAUUGUGGUUUCUCAGUUGGAGGCAAUAUUUUGUUCACGAAGGGAUCUGCUAGCGGAGGUGAUCGAUCCUCUAAAAGGGAUAUAGUUGGUGCUCAGAUUGAUCCAAAUAUACUGUUUGCUCAUCAACAGUCCUUCCGAAGUGUGAAUUCCAAGUAAGUCUAUUUGUGUCAGUGUUAUUAGCCUAAUCCAAAUGUAAUUCUUGCUAAGUGAGCAUCAACUUAGAAGUGGAGCAAUUAUGUGGAG